This 224-nucleotide ribosomal RNA is filed under the name uncultured bacterium. Its description in RNAcentral is "partial 16S ribosomal RNA". It matches the Rfam family "Bacterial small subunit ribosomal RNA", at positions 107 to 334 of the family's 1533-position model. The record is from RNAcentral.
UGAGUAAUACAUCGGAACGUGUCUUCUAGUGGGGGAUAACUGCCCGAAAGGGCAGCUAAUACCGCAUGAGACCUGAGGGUGAAAGCGGGGGAUCGCAAGACCUCGCGCUGGAAGAGCGGCCGAUGUCCGAUUAGCUAGUUGGUGAGGUAAAGGCCCACCAAGGCGACGAUCGGUAGCUGGUCUGAGAGGACGACCAGCCACACUGGGACUGAGACACGGCCCAG